Non-coding RNA from Sus scrofa (pig), 566 nucleotides. The record is from RefSeq and is a predicted model, not a curated record. NCBI's taxonomy places the organism in Eukaryota, Metazoa, Chordata, Mammalia, Artiodactyla, Suidae.
UAAUGGGAGCUGGAAGAUGGCGCCUUGAGAGGACAUGGGAACCAGCGCCUUGCCCCAUGCAUCUCUUCCAUCUGACUGUUCCUGAGUUAUAAGCUGGUGAUCUAUUGCGUGCUUUCUCUUGGUGGCCCUGAGAGCCUCACUCUGCAGUAACAUAAAUCAAGUGCGUUUGGCUUGGAGGCAGCCAUCAGCUUCCUGUCCACAUGACAGAAUGGAGUUAACCUCAUCUGCAAGUGGCCAUCCUCUUCUCACUGAUUUUGAAUUGUUUGGUUAACUUGCUCUGGGAAGGAGUAUCAAUAAUUCAGCAUUAGCGGGCUGGCAUGUCACCUUGACAGAUGGAAACAGCGACAGAGCCAUCGAUUCCAGGGCAGUAGAGAAAUCUCCUCUCCAGCUCAGCUCUGUGGGAUGAGUGAGAAGGAGGGAUGGUUCCAGCCCAGUCAGGAAAGCCUGUCCAGGACCUCAGGACCACAGCCAAAUAUGCACCUGCACUGGUAUGUGCUUUCUCCUCCUGGAGAGAGAUGAACAGACCUGAGGGGGACCUGAGCACCUGAAGGAGCAUCCCAAAAAAA